This 72-nucleotide transfer RNA is filed under the name Prevotellaceae bacterium. Its description in RNAcentral is "tRNA-Arg". It matches the Rfam family "tRNA". Rfam says of the family: Transfer RNA (tRNA) molecules are approximately 80 nucleotides in length. Their secondary structure includes four short double-helical elements and three loops (D, anti-codon, and T loops). Lineage: Bacteria; Pseudomonadati; Bacteroidota; Bacteroidia; Bacteroidales; Prevotellaceae. The record is from RNAcentral.
GGCUUCGUAGUUCAAUGGAUAGAAUGAAAGAUUCCGGUUCUUUUGAUGUGGGUUCGAGUCCCGCCGAGGUCA